CAAGUCGAGGGGCAGCAUGGUCUUAGCUUGCUAAGGCUGAUGGCGACCGGCGCACGGGUGAGUAACACGUAUCCAACCUGCCGUCUACUCUUGGCCAGCCUUCUGAAAGGAAGAUUAAUCCAGGAUGGGAUCAUGAGUUCACAUGUCCGCAUGAUUAAAGGUAUUUUCCGGUAGACGAUGGGGAUGCGUUCCAUUAGAUAGUAGGCGGGGUAACGGCCCACCUAGUCAACGAUGGAUAGGGGUUCUGAGAGGAAGGUCCCCCACAUUGGAACUGAGACACGGUCCAAACUCCUACGGGAGGCAGCAGUGAGGAAUAUUGGUCAAUGGGCGAUGGCCUGAACCAGCCAAGUAGCGUGAAGGAUGACUGCCCUAUGGGUUGUAAACUUCUUUUAUAAAGGAAUAAAGUCGGGUAUGCAUACCCGUUUGCAUGUACUUUAUGAAUAAGGAUCGGCUAACUCCGUGCCAGCAGCCGCGGUAAUACGGAGGAUCCGAGCGUUAUCCGGAUUUAUUGGGUUUAAAGGGAGCGUAGAUGGAUGUUUAAGUCAGUUGUGAAAGUUUGCGGCUCAACCGUAAAAUUGCAGUUGAUACUGGAUGUCUUGAGUGCAGUUGAGGCAGGCGGAAUUCGUGGUGUAGCGGUGAAAUGCUUAGAUAUCACGAAGAACUCCGAUUGCGAAGGCA
RNAcentral lists this ribosomal RNA (678 nucleotides) under uncultured Bacteroidales bacterium. RNAcentral's name for it is "bacterial SSU rRNA". It matches the Rfam family "Bacterial small subunit ribosomal RNA", at positions 58 to 723 of the family's 1533-position model. The record is from RNAcentral. Lineage: Bacteria; Pseudomonadati; Bacteroidota; Bacteroidia; Bacteroidales.